GACGAACGCUGGCGGCGUGCUUAACACAUGCAAGUCGAACGGAAAGGCCCUGCUUUUGUGGGGUGCUCGAGUGGCGAACGGGUGAGUAACACGUGAGUAACCUGCCCUUGACUUUGGGAUAACUUCAGGAAACUGGGGAUAAUACCGGAUAGGAGCUCCUGCUGCAUGGUGGGGGUUGGAAAGUUUCGGCGGUUGGGGCUGGACUCGCGGCUUAUCAGCGUGUUGGUGGGGUAGUGGCUUACCAAGGCUUUGACGGGUAGCCGGCCUGAGAGGGUGACCGGCCACAUUGGGACUGCGGUACGGCCCAGACUCCUACGGGAGGCAGCAGUGGGGAAUCUUGCACAAUGGGCGGGAGCCUGAUGCAGCAACGCCGCGUGCGGGAUCACGGCCUUCGGGUUAUAAACCGCUUUCGCCUGUGACGAAGCGUGAGUGACGGUAAUGGGUAAAGAAGCACCGGCUAACUACGUG
This 468-nucleotide ribosomal RNA is filed under the name uncultured bacterium. RNAcentral describes it as "partial 16S ribosomal RNA". It matches the Rfam family "Bacterial small subunit ribosomal RNA", at positions 28 to 507 of the family's 1533-position model. The record is from RNAcentral.